This 462-nucleotide ribosomal RNA is filed under the name Triticum aestivum (bread wheat). RNAcentral describes it as "partial small subunit ribosomal RNA". Lineage: Eukaryota; Viridiplantae; Streptophyta; Magnoliopsida; Poales; Poaceae. The record is from RNAcentral.
AUGAUGGAGCUGGUGCUUCGUCCAUUGCAUAAGCUUGAGGACUCUUUGUGUUUGUGGUUGGCACGUGCAACCAGCUUCUUGGAGCGGGCGGAGGCAUCAGUUGGUCUGCAGGGGUCGUUGCCGCUCACGCAGGCAGCGCUGGUGGCAGACCAUAGGGACCAAGGUACUGAGGACAUUGGCAACACCAUGCAGCCGCUGACCUUGGGGUUAGUUGCUCUGGUGGUGGCCACUGAGAUCAGCCUAGCUAGUUCUAUCUCCGACGAAGUACAGGCUGUUGCAAAGGGAUGCACUUUCGCGAUUGAUGAAGGUGGCACUUUGCAUGACUUAACCGAGCUGAUCAAAUGCCUCAUUGCCAUGCCUGCGAUCACCCAGGGAUUGACUCGCCUUGUCAAAGUGGAGAAGAUCAAGAAUGCCAACCAGGUGGUAUGUGCCGCCGUGAGGGACAACGCUGCAAGAUGUUAA